This is a non-coding RNA of Nicotiana tabacum (common tobacco), 339 nucleotides long. The record is from RefSeq and is a predicted model, not a curated record. NCBI's taxonomy places the organism in Eukaryota, Viridiplantae, Streptophyta, Magnoliopsida, Solanales, Solanaceae.
AAGGUGGACUUCACUGCUUAUAUUGAGAAGCAUGAGUUCUGUUUUGAUGUUGUUCUACAUGAGCAUGUUACAAAUGAUCAGCGCACAAAAGCUACAUAAUUUGCUUAUGGCGAGACAGGAUAUGAGGCAGCAGUCAAAUGAAAUUAGCUUUGCAGGUUUAUAGAGCCACUAUAGAACUAAUUAUCCCAACCAUCUAUUAGCGCAUAAAAGCUACAUAAUUUGCUUAUGGCGAGACAGGAUAUAAGGCGGCAGUCAAACGAAAUUAGGGAGGCAACAAUAAUACCUCUUAUGCCACAAUUAGACGCCAUUGUGAAGUUGAUCUAUUUAUGUAUUUUUGGA